UGUCGGCGGCGAUGCGUGUACGCACCGGGAUCGCGCUGCCGGAUCACGGCCUAGCCGUCCUUCAGCUCUUGUGGCCUCCAACUUAAAGCAGAAAGGAAAGAAGGCAGCACGAAAACAAAGCAGUUAACCUCCGGGUGGUCAACAAGAGCCUCCUGAUGUGCAAUCUGUGUGGAGCCGCAGCCGCAGGUGUUCCUGUGGCAGACAGACUCGGAUGAGGCGCGUGUUCCUUCAGCCCUUUGGCACGGAAGUUCUUUGGCACUGCCCCGCUCCUCCUGACACCAUCCUGCAGAGCCCUGCCCGGCGUGCAGCAGCACCUGGCACUGGUGUUACAGGUGCCCGGGGCACCGGGGGCUGCCACCACCCGAGCCCACAGCCCCAGGCGCUUCCCCCUGACACCGCUGCGAGCCCCUCAGCCGCAGGAGCCCCCCACGGGGCAGCCAUUCCCUCGAGCUGCCCCAUUCCCUCGGAGCCCCUC
Anas platyrhynchos (mallard) is the source of this 475-nucleotide non-coding RNA. The record is from RefSeq and is a predicted model, not a curated record. NCBI's taxonomy places the organism in Eukaryota, Metazoa, Chordata, Aves, Anseriformes, Anatidae.